GAAAUGCGAUAAGUAAUGUGAAUUGCAGAAUUCAGUGAAUCAUCGAAUCUUUGAACGCACAUUGCGCCCGCCAGUAUUCUGGCGGGCAUGCCUGUCCGAGCGUCAUUUCAACCAUCAAGCCCCCGGGCUUGUGUUGAGGACCUGCGGCUGCCCGCAGGCCCUGAAAACCAGUGGCGGGCUCGCUGUCACACCGAGCGUAGUAGCAAUCACCUCGCUCAGGGCGUGCUGCGGGUUCCGGCCGUUAAACAGCCUUACAAAACCCAAGGUUGACCUCGGAUCAGGUAGGAAGACCCGCUGAACUUAAGC
RNAcentral lists this unclassified non-coding RNA (306 nucleotides) under plant metagenome. RNAcentral's name for it is "partial contains 5.8S ribosomal RNA, internal transcribed spacer 2, and large subunit ribosomal RNA". The stretch from base 1 to 105 matches the Rfam family "5.8S ribosomal RNA", at positions 50 to 154 of the family's 154-position model. The record is from RNAcentral.